This 503-nucleotide ribosomal RNA is filed under the name uncultured bacterium. RNAcentral describes it as "bacterial SSU rRNA". It matches the Rfam family "Bacterial small subunit ribosomal RNA", at positions 28 to 520 of the family's 1533-position model. The record is from RNAcentral.
GAUGAACGCUAGCUACAGGCUUAACACAUGCAAGUCGAGGGGCAGCGGGAUUGAAGCUUGCUUCAAUUGCCGGCGACCGGCGCACGGGUGAGUAACGCGUAUCCAACCUUCCGUACACUCAGGGAUAGCCUUUCGAAAGAAAGAUUAAUACCUGAUGGUAUGAUGAGAUUGCAUGAUAGCAUCAUUAAAGAUUUAUCGGUGUACGAUGGGGAUGCGUUCCAUUAGGUAGUAGGCGGGGUAACGGCCCACCUAGCCUACGAUGGAUAGGGGUUCCGAGAGGAAGGCCCCCCACAUUGGAACUGAGACACGGUCCAAACUCCUACGGGAGGCAGCAGUGAGGAAUAUUGGUCAAUGGACGAGAGUCUGAACCAGCCAAGUAGCGUGAAGGAUGAAGGUCUUACGGAUUGUAAACUUCUUUUAUAAGGGAAUAAAACCUCCCACGUGUGGGAGCUUGUAUGUACCUUAUGAAUAAGCAUCGGCUAACUCCGUGCCAGCAGCCGCGG